UACAGAGGGGGCAAGCGUUGUUCGGAAUUACUGGGCGUAAAGGGCGCGUAGGCGGCCUGUUAAGUCGAACGUGAAAUCCCCGGGCUCAACCCGGGAACUGCGUCCGAUACUGGCAGGCUUGAAUUCGGGAGAGGGAUGUGGAAUUCCAGGUGUAGCGGUGAAAUGCGUAGAUAUCUGGAGGAACACCGGUGGCGAAGGCGGCAUCCUGACCGGUAUUGACGCUGAGGCGCGAAAGCCAGGGGAGCAAACAGG
This 252-nucleotide ribosomal RNA is filed under the name uncultured bacterium. RNAcentral's name for it is "partial 16S ribosomal RNA". It matches the Rfam family "Bacterial small subunit ribosomal RNA", at positions 524 to 776 of the family's 1533-position model. The record is from RNAcentral.